GAUGAACGCUAGCGGGAGGCCUAACACAUGCAAGCCGAGCGGUAUUUGUCCUUCGGGACUGAGAGAGCGGCGUACGGGUGCGGAACACGUGUGCAACCUGCCUUUAUCUGGGGGAUAGCCUUUCGAAAGGAAGAUUAAUACCCCAUAAUAUAUCGAAUGGCAUCAUUCGAUAUUGAAAACUCCGGUGGAUAGAGAUGGGCACGCGCAAGAUUUGAUAGUUGGUGUGGUAACGGCUCACCAAGUCAGUGAUCUUUAGGGGGCCUGAGAGGGUGAUCCCCCACAAUGGUACUGAGGCACAGACCAGAAUCGUACGGGAGGCAGCAGUAAGGAAUAUUGGACAAGGGGUGAGAGCCUGAUACAGCCAUCCCGCGUGAAGGAGUAAGGCCCUAUGGGUAGUAAACUUCUUUUAUACAGGGAUAAACCUACUUACGAGUAAGUAGCUGAAGGUACAGUAUGAAUAAGCACCGGCUAACUCCGUG
Molecule: ribosomal RNA, 479 nt
Filed under: uncultured bacterium
Lineage: Bacteria
Description: partial 16S ribosomal RNA
Rfam family: Bacterial small subunit ribosomal RNA
Source: RNAcentral